UUUUUUUUUUUUUUUCUGGUCAGGAAGAAAAACAAGAAGUUUCCUUCCGCAAACUUCCUAAAAGGUGCCAUGUGUUUUCCUAAAACCAAGGAAAAUUCUAAAAUAGAACUACCAUAUGAUUCAGCAAUCCCACUUGUAAGUAUAUAUUCAAAGAAAAUGCAAUCAGUUUGUCAAAGAGGAAAUUAAAUCAGUAUGUUGAAGAGAUAUCUGCAUUGCCGUGUUCACUGCGGCAUUAUUUACAACAGCCAAGGUAUAGAAAUGACCUAAAUGUCCACUGGCAGAUAUAUGGAUAAAGAAAUUGUGGUAUAUUGAUACAAUGGGAUAUUAUUCAGCCAAAAUGAGGAAAGCCUGUCGUUUUCAAUUAUAUGGAUGAACUAGAGGACAUCAUGCUAAAUGAAAUAAGCCAGGCACAAAAAGACAAAUACUGUAUUUUCUCAUUCAUAUUGUGGUAUCUAAAAAAUGUUGAACUCAUAGAAGCAGAGAAUAGAACAAUGGCGUCCAGGGUUUGGACAGGGUGUGUGAAAUGGGGAGAUGAUGGUUAAAAGGUAAAAACUUUCAAUUCUGACAUGAACCAGUUCUGGAAAUCUAAUGAACAACAUGGGUAUUGAUGAUAGCUGUGUUAAUUUGACUGCAGUAAUGAAUACACAAUCUAUAUGCAUAUAAAGACAUCACAUUGUACGUCCUAAAUAUAUUCAAUCUUUAUUUUUCAAGUAAAUAUUUUAGAAUUAAAAAAAUAGAAAUUAUUUUAUUGAUUGACAAACGAAUAGUUUCUAAGAGAGCUAGAUUAAAAUAUACAUCAUACUAGCACUGGAUAAGUGAAUCAAGUCUUAUGUUAACAUUAGUUGACCAACAUUAUUUUCUAAUAGGUUUAUCAGAGAGGCAUAUAUAGACAUUGGAUAAUCUCAUUGUUGUUCUCUUUCACUUAGAUCAGAAUCUCUUAACAUUCAAAUAAUGACUGAAAUGUGUGUAUUUCAAGAAGUGGAAAAUAAGUUACAACCUUUUGUCAGAUUCUCAAAGAGAUUCUUGACCAGAAAAGAUUCUGAACCUCUGUGUAGAAGUAACAUGUUUUUAUCCAACAUUGCACAAUGGUUCUUGACUGUUCUUUAGAACUAAUGUUCUUCAUUUUGACUUGUACAAAUUGUGGAAGUCCAGUAGGAGUAUAGAGACAGACUUUGUAAUAUAUUACAAGACAUUUACAAGUUGAAAAAACUGCUUCAGUGAGUGAGCUACAGUGGUAGAAUUCUAAGAUGGCAUUCCAAUGUUCCAAUCCCCAGGUUAUUCAAUAAUAUGACUCCAGGUAUUGCUGUGAGGGGAUUUUGAAGAUGUAGUUAAAGCCCCAAAGUGGUUGACUUUUUACAAUACGGAGAGCAUUUGGUUGAGACUGAUCUAAUCACAUGAGCCCUUUCAAAGCAGAAUUUUCUCGGGCUAGUAGCAGAAUGGGAAUUGGAAAUUUAAAGUGCAAGAAGGAACUAAUGUGAAGAAGAUUCUCCAUUGCUGAGAUGGAGUGGGGCACGUGGCAGGGAUCUAAGAGUGGCCUCCAGAAGGUGAGAGUGGUCCCUGGUUGACAGCCAGGAAUGCAGUGGAUACCUUAGUCUACUACUGCAAGGAAAUGAAUUCUGCCAACAGCCUGAGUGACCUUGGAAGCAUAUCUUUCUCUAGUCAAGACUCCAGAUAAGUACACAUCUGGACAACACCGUAUUUUCAGCUUUAUAAGAUCCUAAGUAGAGAGCCAAGUUAAAAUUUGCUGGAAUUCUGACCCAGGCAACUGUGAGAUAAUAAAAUUUUGUCACUUUAAGUUGCUAAAUUUAUGGUAAUUUGCUACAUAGCAAAAGAAAAAGUUGCUAAUAAAUAACUUCAAAUCUUUCAUUUGUUUUCAUGAAAUCUGGAUAUCUAUAGACCUAAAUUUAAGAAAUUUAGAGCUAUUGAUAGCUUAGUGGUUUUCUUCCUUGCCACAGGAAAUAUUAUAUCAGGCUAAAAUAAAAUAAGAAGAUAAAAGAAAGGUGAAUUACUAAGUUUUCUUUUGGUCAUUUUCUAUUUAAAACCAAGAGCAGUCUGGGGGAAAAAAAAGUCAGUUUCAUUAUCCUAAUCUAAAGGAUGAACAAUUAAAGUUAUUGGAAAGAGAUCACCACUACAAUUUCACUGUUUGUUUAAUGACUUCUAGUAGUUUUUAAUGUUUAAAUUCUACUCUCUGAGCUCACAUUCUCAUUAUACAUUUGUUUUAAAUAUAACCAAAUUAUGAUUAUGAAUUUAUGUAUGAAGUUUUUAAAACCAUAAGAAUAAAUUUGGUUGCAUCUUAUAAAUAUAGAUUUCCAAACACAUCUAAAAGAAAUUUAUGAUUCGGUGCUCAGAAAAUACAGAAAAAAAAUCUGUAUUUUUCACAUAACUGUAGGUGGU
Long non-coding RNA from Homo sapiens (human), 2394 nucleotides. Ensembl annotates it as long intergenic non-protein coding RNA 2316. Lineage: Eukaryota; Metazoa; Chordata; Mammalia; Primates; Hominidae. The record is from Ensembl.